GUGUACCCGCGGCAAGACGGAAAGACCCCGUGAACCUUUACUAUAGCUUGACACUGAACAUUGAGCCUUGAUGUGUAGGAUAGGUGGGAGGCUUUGAAGUGUGGACGCCAGUCUGCAUGGAGCCGACCUUGAAAUACCACCCUUUAAUGUUUGAUGUUCUAACGUGGACCCGUUACCCGGGUUGCGGACAGUGUCUGGUGGGUAGUUUGACUGGGGCGGUCUCCUCCUAAAGAGUAACGGAGGAGCACGAAGGUUGGCUAAUCCUGGUCGGACAUCAGGAGGUUAGUGCAAUGGCAUAAGCCAGCUUGACUGCGAGCGUGACGGCGCGAGCAGGUGCGAAAGCAGGUCAUAGUGAUCCGGUGGUUCUGAAUGGAAGGGCCAUCGCUCAACGGAUAAAAGGUACUCCGGGGAUAACAGGCUGAUACCGCCCAAGAGUUCAUAUCGACGGCGGUGUUUGGCACCUCGAUGUCGGCUCAUCACAUCCUGGGGCUGAAGUAGGUCCCAAGGGUAUGGCUGUUCGCCAUUUAAAGUGGUACGCGAGCUGGGUUUAGAACGUCGUGAGACAGUUCGGUCCCUAUCUGCCGUGGGCGCUGGAGAACUGAGGGGGGCUGCUCCUAGUACGAGAGGACCGGAGUGGACGCAUCACUGGUGUUCGGGUUGUCAUGCCAAUGGCACUGCCCGGUAGCUAAAUGCGGAAGAGAUAAGUGCUGAAAGCAUCUAAGCACGAAACUUGCCCCGAG
Molecule: ribosomal RNA, 740 nt
Filed under: Salmonella enterica subsp. enterica serovar Enteritidis
Lineage: Bacteria; Pseudomonadati; Pseudomonadota; Gammaproteobacteria; Enterobacterales; Enterobacteriaceae
Description: partial 23S ribosomal RNA
Rfam family: Bacterial large subunit ribosomal RNA
Source: RNAcentral